UGGGGAAUAUUGGACAAUGGGCGAAAGCCUGAUCCAGCCAUGCCGCGUGUGUGAAGAAGGUCUUCGGAUUGUAAAGCACUUUAAGUUGGGAGGAAGGGCAGUAAGCGAAUACCUUGCUGUUUUGACGUUACCGACAGAAUAAGCACCGGCUAACUCUGUGCCAGCAGCCGCGGUAAUACAGAGGGUGCAAGCGUUAAUCGGAAUUACUAGGCGUAAAGCGCGCGUAGGUGGUUCGUUAAGUUGAAUGUGAAAGCCCCGGGCUCAACCUGGGAACUGCAUCCAAAACUGGCGAGCUAGAGUAGGGCAGAGGGUGGUGGAAUUUCCUGUGUAGCGGUGAAAUGCGUAGAUAUAGGAAGGAACACCAGUGGCGAAGGCGACCACCUGGGCUCAUACUGACACUGAGGUGCGAAAGCGUGGGGAGCAAACAGG
RNAcentral lists this ribosomal RNA (429 nucleotides) under Pseudomonadota bacterium. RNAcentral describes it as "Proteobacteria bacterium partial 16S ribosomal RNA". It matches the Rfam family "Bacterial small subunit ribosomal RNA", at positions 355 to 776 of the family's 1533-position model. Lineage: Bacteria; Pseudomonadati; Pseudomonadota. The record is from RNAcentral.